RNAcentral lists this ribosomal RNA (292 nucleotides) under uncultured bacterium. Its description in RNAcentral is "partial 16S ribosomal RNA". It matches the Rfam family "Bacterial small subunit ribosomal RNA", at positions 505 to 796 of the family's 1533-position model. The record is from RNAcentral.
GUGUCAGCAGCCGCGGUAAUACGUAGGGUGCGAGCGUUGUCCGGAUUUAUUGGGCGUAAAGAGCUCGUAGGCGGUUUGUCGCGUCGGCCGUGAAAUCUCCACGCUUAACGUGGAGCGUGCGGUCGAUACGGGCAGACUUGAGUUCGGUAGGGGAGACUGGAAUUCCUGGUGUAGCGGUGAAAUGCGCAGAUAUCAGGAGGAACACCGGUGGCGAAGGCGGGUCUCUGGGCCGAUACUGACGCUGAGGAGCGAAAGCGUGGGGAGCGAACAGGAUUAGAUACCCCUGUAGUCC